Molecule: ribosomal RNA, 429 nt
Filed under: uncultured bacterium
Lineage: Bacteria
Description: bacterial SSU rRNA
Rfam family: Bacterial small subunit ribosomal RNA
Source: RNAcentral
GGGCCCGCACAAGCGGUGGAGUAUGUGGUUUAAUUCGAUGCAACGCGAAGAACCUUACCAGGGUUUGACAUCCUGCGAAUCUCUUGGAAACAGGAGAGUGCCUUCGGGAACGCAGUGACAGGUGGUGCAUGGCUGUCGUCAGCUCGUGUCGUGAGAUGUUGGGUUAAGUUCCGCAACGAGCGCAACCCUUAUCUUCAGUUGCCAUCAGGUUAAGCUGGGCACUCUGAAGAGACUGCCGGUGAUAAGCCGGAGGAAGGCGGGGAUGACGUCAAGUCAUCAUGCCCCUUACAUCCUGGGCUACACACGUACUACAAUGCUACGGACAAAGGGCAGCAAGUUCGCGAGGACAAGCAAAUCCCAUAAACCGUGGCUCAGUUCAGAUCGUAGGCUGCAACUCGCCUACGUGAAGGCGGAAUCGCUAGUAAUCGC